UCGGGAAUUUUGGGCAAUGGGCGAAAGCCUGACCCAGCAACGCCGCGUGAAGGAUGAAGUAUUUCGGUAUGUAAACUUCGAAAGAAUAGGAAGAAUAAAUGACGGUACUAUUUAUAAGGUCCGGCUAACUACGUGCCAGCAGCCGCGGUAAUACGUAGGGACCAAGCGUUGUUCGGAUUUACUGGGCGUAAAGGGCGCGUAGGCGGCAAUUCAGGUCAUCUGUGAAAUCUCCGGGCUUAACUCGGAACGGUCAGAUGAUACUGCUUUGCUAGAGUGCAGAAGGGGCAAUCGGAAUUCUUGGUGUAGCGGUGAAAUGCGUAGAUAUCAAGAGGAACACCUGAGGUGAAGACGGGUUGCUGGGCUGACACUGACGCUGAGGCGCGAAAGCCAGGGGAGCAAACGGGAUUAGAUACCCACGUAGUCUGAGCGGGCUGGCAAGGCGCAU
Molecule: ribosomal RNA, 445 nt
Filed under: uncultured bacterium
Lineage: Bacteria
Description: bacterial SSU rRNA
Rfam family: Bacterial small subunit ribosomal RNA
Source: RNAcentral